RNAcentral lists this ribosomal RNA (350 nucleotides) under uncultured Planctomycetota bacterium. RNAcentral describes it as "bacterial SSU rRNA". It matches the Rfam family "Bacterial small subunit ribosomal RNA", at positions 46 to 382 of the family's 1533-position model. Lineage: Bacteria; Pseudomonadati; Planctomycetota. The record is from RNAcentral.
GGAUUAGGCAUGCAAGUCGAACGAGGAUAUAUCCUUCGGGAUAUAAGCCGAGUGGCGCAAGGGUGAGUAAUGCAUAGAUUACCUGCCUUUAGGAUAAGGACAACUUUGUGAAAACGGAGCUAAUACUUAAUAAUACAAAAGGGAAUAAUUUUCUUUUGUCAAAUGGAGGGUAGCAAUAUCUUUCGCCUAAAGAAGGGUUUAUGUCCUAUCAGCUUGUUGGUGGGGUAAUGGCCUACCAAGGCAAAGACGGGUAGCCGGCCUUAGAGGGUGGUCGGCCACACUGGGACUGAGACACUGCCCAGACUUCUACGGAAGGCUGCAGUCGAGAAUCUUUCGCAAUGCCCGAAAGG